ACGGGGCUCAAACUCACAAAACCAAGAGAUCAUGACCUGAGUUGAAACCAAGAGUUGGACGCUUAACCGACUGAGCCGCCCAGAUUCUUGGAUUUUCAGAGGAGAGCAGACUGUGACCAGUGCUCCUUGUUAGCAAGGACAAGGCCGCGGGGACCCACGUGAGAAGGAAGACUCGUGUCCUUGUGCUCGGGACCCAGCCCCGCCGUCUGUGUCACGGACAGUGCACGGGGUCUGGCCUCCAGGCAGCCACGGCAUGGCGGGGGGGACAAGAUCUCCCACCUGGGCCGAGGGCAGCACAGGACAGCAUGCGCUGGAGAAAGUGGUGGCCCUGAGGCCAGUGGGUGAGCUCUGGGUGAACAUGGGUCCUUCCUGGCCUGGUGCUUGGAGGAGGAAGCUUUCCGAGCAGGGCGGCCAGCGUGGCAUGUGGGGCUCCCCGGAGGUCAAGAGGGGCCAGCCCCGCCCCCCCCCCCCCCCCCCCCGCACCGCAGGCCCUGGCAAGACCCCUGUGGAUGAGAGCCACCAUGGGACCCCGACUGCCCUGGAAGAGGCCAGCCUGCCGGGAUAUUCUGUUCUUCCUUAAAGACACACGCACGUGAACACGCUCCCACACCCACACGUGCACGCACAAAUGCAGGGCACUUGGCGGGAUUUGACCGCUUCUAGCACAGCACGAGGACCCUCUCCUCUCUUCCUGCCCCCCCGACCCCGUGCAGUCCUAACCGCAGCCCUCUGGCCUGGACUUGAUGACCACGGAAGAACAGAAUAUCCAGGGGCCACGAGUAGCCACCCGGGAGGGUGACAGUGAGACAGCAGUGGGGGGUCCGGGUGGAAGGACGCGUCAGGAGCUGAGGACAACGAUGCCAGGGCCUCCCUCCCGGCCACAUUUGCCCUCAACCGGCACCCGGGCCGGGAAGUGCCCAGUCCCGACGCUUUGGACCGGCCACUGGCAAACAACCCCGGGGCGCGGCAGGAAGCAGCCCUGACCCUCACCCUCCUGCUUGCUCCCCUUGAGUCUCCAGCCUCCAGGGGACCCCUCUCGAGGGUCUGCUGCCAUCCUGCCAUCCCAGUCUGCCCGGACUCCUCUCCACCUGUCUGGAAGACAGGUGCCGCUUCCUGACAGGCGUUCCUCUGCCUUCCACAUCCUGGAAGCUUCCCCAGGGCUGAAAAUGCCUGGUGAGUGGCGGGCCAGCCUCAGGUGGACUAUGUGGGGCCUCCACGGUCCAGAGGUUUCCAGCUGGUGUCCCGCUCAGUCGUCCGAUGGCCGGUCGCCCGUGUCCACCUUGGAGCUGAGUUGGGCCGGGAGAUAGCAGAGUGGGAAGCCCAGAGAACGUUCUAGGCGGGCCUGCCAGGGACAGGGAGUGAGCGCCUCUGUCUGGGAGGCCCGUGGGAGGCUACUGGUCCAACGGCACUGCCAGAGGACGUGUGUGAAUCCCAACUCCCGAGGCAGACGGCCUCGGAGGUGUGGGCCACCGCCUGCCUCUGACGCGGCUCGUUCUGUUCGCCUCUGCUUCCUGGCCCGCUGUGGGUGGAGUCCCCUGCCAGGAACGAUGGUGCCACCUGGCUCCGUCCUCGACGCUCUGACGUCUGCACUCCGCCGUUUGGGCCAAGAUGGAAACCAAGCGGAACGUUCCUGACGUGGGAUCUCCUCGUCCCACGGUCCCGUGGCACCCA
This is a long non-coding RNA of Leopardus geoffroyi (Geoffroy's cat), 1671 nucleotides long. RefSeq lists it as uncharacterized. The record is from RefSeq and is a predicted model, not a curated record. Lineage: Eukaryota; Metazoa; Chordata; Mammalia; Carnivora; Felidae. The transcript has 5 exons.